UCUGUAAUGUGUAUAUAUAUAUUAAAUAGAUUGGAAUAAUUUUUUUGUAAUGUGUGUCUUUUUUCAGUAACCUUUAUGUGACUGAAGAUUAGCAUAUCUUUUAAUUUUCAUAAUAUACUUAGAAUUGAAUACAUGCAUACAUUUAUUUGUCUUUCAGGCAAGAAGCCAUUCAGAGAAAUGUUGAGCAUUCAAAAAAUCUGCAGGACCAGUUGACACAUCUUUUGAAAUAAACUUAAAUGUGGAAAGUUUACAGAGUGACACAUCGAGCUGUCAGUGGUGGCUUAGUGUCUGGAAGUGGCACAACAUUCAGACAGGACAAGAUGAGUGUGUUAGAGCUUCCUGUGAAUAUAUCGUGUGUAUUCCAAAGAGCUGUGGAAAGAAGAUAAAAAUGGUUUAGGGGUCCAGAAUGUUCUGUCAAGUGAUAUUGUGACACCAGGAUGAAAAGAAUUUCCGUUAAUAUAAUGGAAUUAUAAUAGAUGUAUUUAAAUAAUGGUUGAUUCCUUCUGCUAUAUUUUAAGUUCUGGGUCAUUUUAUGGGUAUGGUAUGUUUUUUUCCUUCCAGGUGAUAAUUCUCUCUUCUUCCAUAUCUGACAGAAGUUUUAAAACAUUUAUGCUUCAAUUAUGGAUUGGUGCAUUAUCCUAAAAAGAGUUCAAAGACAAUAUUUGUUGUCCAUUUUUAUUAAAUUGUAAAAGGAGCACACUCUUUGAAAAUCUCUUUGAAAUGCUAGAUCAGGUUUGUAAUACUUAAAUUUAACAGGACCCUUGCGUAACUGCUUGUGAUACAUUUGCAAACUCUCAUAAAAAUGUGUGCCUUUUUUUGUCAUUCUCAGGCUUUAAUAAACAGGCACACUUUCUUAGCUUUUUGGUAUGUCAGUAGCUGGAAAGUGUUUGUCUGUUCCAGAUUAAUUUUAACAUGCAGGAUCUUUAGUGCUGGCAUCCCAUCCAUGUCCAGUUUCUGUCAGAAAGCUGAAUGUUAGACACCUUGAGUUUCUUAAAUGGAUUACUCGGAUAUGUAAAAUUAAUGGAGGAAUCAAUAACUUGCCAGUACAUUAUGUCAUACUCUUCAAAGAUUUGAGACUGUGUGUAUAUGCAGGCAUGUAUGCAUAUGUUGUAUUUAUAUAAAAAAUAUUGAAAGCAUCUAAAAUUGUAUCCAUUAGUUUUAAGCAGCUGAAAUGUUAACAUUUGUUGUUUUUUAUGAAUAAAAGAAAAGGUAUUUAAA
Molecule: long non-coding RNA, 1218 nt
Organism: Polypterus senegalus (gray bichir)
Lineage: Eukaryota; Metazoa; Chordata; Cladistia; Polypteriformes; Polypteridae
Exons: 2
Source: RefSeq, a predicted model, not a curated record